RNAcentral lists this ribosomal RNA (481 nucleotides) under Anoplodactylus erectus. RNAcentral's name for it is "partial 16S ribosomal RNA". It matches the Rfam family "Bacterial large subunit ribosomal RNA", at positions 1831 to 2600 of the family's 2925-position model. Lineage: Eukaryota; Metazoa; Arthropoda; Pycnogonida; Pantopoda; Phoxichilidiidae. The record is from RNAcentral.
GCUUAAAGARAUUUUAUUUUAAGUGUGUCCUGCUCAAUGAAAAAUUUARAUAGCUGCAGUAAAUUGMCUGUACUAAGGUAGCAUAAUAAUUUGUCUUUUAAUUGAAGACUGGAAUGAAAGGUUGAACAUAAAAGAAACUGUCUUUUAUUUAUUUUUGAAAUUAAUAUUUUUGUAAAAAAGCUAAAAUUCAAUAAAGGGACGAAAAGACCCUAUCAAGUUUUAUACCUAAAUUAAUUAAUUGAUUAGUUUAUGUAUUUGUUUGGGGCGAACUAAAAAUAAAUAACUUUUUUUAAUUUAAUAAUUUAAUUAUUUAUUUAUAUUCUAUAAUUUAUAGAAACUUAAAUUACUGUAGGGGUAACAGCAUAAUUUUUUUUAUGWGUACUAAUUAUAAAAAAAGUUUAUGACCUCGAUGUGGGGUUAAUUUUACCUUUAAAAUGAAUAAGUUUAAAAGGUACGUCUGUUCGACGGUUAAAAUAUUACA